UGAAGAUUCAUCAGAACUAUUGCAAUGCUGGGAGAUAUUCCCAAUAAACUCUUGGGUAGUAGACAAGCCCUUUGACACAACCAUCUGUACAUUUGGGAGGAACCUCUCUCUAGACAGAAGCAAAACUCGAUUCCAGCAAGAUCCAGGUCCUGCCUUCCAUUACUGAAAAAGAUGGGCAAGUAACACACAUAUGCCUCAUUGAAGAUUUUUACCCAAAUAUUAUUAAAGUGACUUGGGAAGACGACAAGAAGAAUGAAGAGAAAAAUGCAGUGCUUGGGGAAAUUUGGCCCCCCGAUGACAAUCAACAAUCAUACUCAGUGAGCAGCUGGCUGACCCUAAAUAAACCUAGCAAUAAGAAUUAUCGCUGCAACUAUCAACAUGAAAAAGAAGCAGGUUUUGUCCUCACCAAAUCUCAAGACACCACCACAGUGCCUCAAACCACAGCAGACUGUACCAACAGACUUUUCACAGCGAGUUUCAUGCACAGGACAGCAUAUUUAAUAUACAUUGCCCUUCUCCUGAAAAGCACCAUGUACUAUGUCAUCAUACUCUUCUUCAUGUACAGGAUGCAAAGUCCAAUCAAGCGCCAGGGAAAGAAACCUUAAACUUCUCCUUGCACCUUCCAAACUCAGCAUUUUUGUCUGAAAUUUACUUUGCUUUGCCAUAAGCCUGUUCAUAUGAAACACUUUGCUCUAAAUAUCAAGACAUGCAUUUCAAUUUGAUUUUGUUGGUUUAUUCUCUAGUUAGCACAGAUGGCUUAUUCUGCUUGAGAGCGAACAGUUUUAUAUGUGUUCAUUUUUUCUAUUUUAUUAUUUUAAUUUUGUAACUGUGGAACUUAAAGGGCUCCUUGAUUUCAGUGGGAAUUUUGCAUCACAAAGCAGUGCAGGAUCAGUCUCUUAGGCUCUUAUCCUGCAAAAACACUUGUGCACACGAACAACUGUUUGGAUGUGGAUAGGCCAACUGCAUUCAAGGAAGUCAAUGGAAAAAAACUCACUGCUGUAAUUGUUAGUGGGCAUGGAGUCCUAAUCUGUAAUUUAAAAUGAUUUGUCAUUUCAUUUCUAUUAAUUUCAUUUAUUUCCUUUAUAAAACAAAAACAGGCUU
This 1101-nucleotide long non-coding RNA is filed under the name Chelonoidis abingdonii (Abingdon island giant tortoise). RNAcentral's name for it is "lncRNA (ENSCABG00000008625.1)". The record is from RNAcentral. Lineage: Eukaryota; Metazoa; Chordata; Testudines; Testudinidae.